GGUCUGCAACUCGACCCCAUGAAGUCGGAGUCGCUAGUAAUCGCAGAUCAGCAACGCUGCGGUGAAUACGUUCCCGGGCCUUGUACACACCGCCCGUCAAGUCACGAAAGUUGGUAACACCCAAAGCCGGUGGCCUAACCUUUUGGAGGGAGCCGUCUAAGGUGGGAUUGGCGAUUGGGACUAAGUCGUAACAAGGUAGCCGUACCGGAAGGUGCGGCUGGAUCACCUCCUUU
This 233-nucleotide ribosomal RNA is filed under the name Rothia mucilaginosa. RNAcentral describes it as "partial 16S ribosomal RNA". It matches the Rfam family "Bacterial small subunit ribosomal RNA", at positions 1302 to 1533 of the family's 1533-position model. Lineage: Bacteria; Bacillati; Actinomycetota; Actinomycetes; Micrococcales; Micrococcaceae. The record is from RNAcentral.